UAAAGUGUUUGCCGUUGGGUUUUCGUUUGGCUGGUUGUGUGUACACAGUGUAUACAAGUUGAGUUGUACAGAAGCCCAAGAAAGAGCAAGAGACAAAGGGUAGUGGGAGCAGGGGUGGGUGGGGGCCAGACACAGACAAAUCGCCGUAGAAAAGGAGUGGGAGGGGCAGAGAGAGGGGACCCUUCUCCCCCCUCCACCUCCCCAAGCCCCUGCCCCAGGUAUGUACAAUAAAUAAGAUUAAAAAUAAUUAACAAGAUGCGUUUUCCCCUCCCACCCGACGCCAAAUGCCCUGCGGAGGGAAUGGCCUUUAGCAAAGAUCUUGGCCUGCAGGGGGGACUUGGGGGGAAGGGGUCCCCCAGC
Long non-coding RNA from Homo sapiens (human), 360 nucleotides. The record is from Ensembl. Lineage: Eukaryota; Metazoa; Chordata; Mammalia; Primates; Hominidae.